GAUCAUGGCUCAGGAUGAACGCUAGCUACAGGCUUAACACAUGCAAGUCGAGGGGAAACGACAUCUAAAGCUUGCUUUUGAUGGGCGUCGACCGGCGCACGGGUGAGUAACGCGUAUCCAACCUGCCCAUCACUUGGGAAUAACCUUGCGAAAGUAAGACUAAUGCCCAAUGACAUCCCACGAAGGCAUCCGAAUGGGAUUAAAGAUUUAUAGGUGAUGGAUGGGGAUGCGU
RNAcentral lists this ribosomal RNA (232 nucleotides) under uncultured bacterium. RNAcentral's name for it is "partial 16S ribosomal RNA". It matches the Rfam family "Bacterial small subunit ribosomal RNA", at positions 15 to 236 of the family's 1533-position model. The record is from RNAcentral.